This 194-nucleotide ribosomal RNA is filed under the name uncultured bacterium. Its description in RNAcentral is "partial 16S ribosomal RNA". It matches the Rfam family "Bacterial small subunit ribosomal RNA", at positions 338 to 524 of the family's 1533-position model. The record is from RNAcentral.
CCUACGGGAGGCAGCAGUGGGGAAUUUUGGACAAUGGGCGCAAGCCUGAUCCAGCAAUGCCGCGUGCAGGAUGAAGGCCUUCGGGUUGUAAACUGCUUUUGUACGGAGCGAAAAGGCUCUCUCUAAUACAGGGGGCUCAUGACGGUACCGUAAGAAUAAGCACCGGCUAACUACGUGCCAGCAGCCGCGGUAAU